ACGACCUCAGAGCAGGC
This 17-nucleotide ribosomal RNA is filed under the name Diadegma mollipla. RNAcentral's name for it is "partial 28S ribosomal RNA". The record is from RNAcentral. Lineage: Eukaryota; Metazoa; Arthropoda; Insecta; Hymenoptera; Ichneumonidae. RNAcentral also lists the same sequence under 3 other names.